GAUAAGGAGGCUAAAUUGUCGAGAAUGGCGGAGUGGAGGCUAUACGUCCAGUCACCUAGGGGCUUGAUACAUAUCGAAAUUGUGUCUGAGAUGUUGAGGGAGCUGGAUGCACUGCUAAAGGGGUGCCAUUCCAGGCGCGAAAUCCCAGGUACGUUGAUGUACAUGAAGCUUAAUGCGUUGUACUCAAAACCUGUAAAGGACAAAGAGCCUUUCACAUUAACUAAAUUGAAGGCCACGACUCUGAGGAUUGUAUGCCGACACCUGCAGGUCAAUGGUUCAAAUAAGUACUUGUUGGUAAAUUUGAACGCACCUUGUUGAAUGGGGAUCUUGAGCUCCACUACACCACUCGGCAGCACCUGCGCUGUUACGCCAGUUAUUCGUUUCUGAGACU
Molecule: long non-coding RNA, 391 nt
Filed under: Physcomitrium patens
Lineage: Eukaryota; Viridiplantae; Streptophyta; Bryopsida; Funariales; Funariaceae
Description: long non-coding RNA (PPAT_LNC010235)
Source: RNAcentral